This is a non-coding RNA of Coturnix japonica (Japanese quail), 17888 nucleotides long. The record is from RefSeq and is a predicted model, not a curated record. NCBI's taxonomy places the organism in Eukaryota, Metazoa, Chordata, Aves, Galliformes, Phasianidae.
CCCCCUCUUGAUUCAUGGAGGUCGUUAGUGAGUUGUAGGAUGGUAUUUACAUUUCCAAGGUAUUUGUGCAAGCUCUCUCCCAGACUUACAAGUUCAUGGGGAGGAGGUGACCUUCACUGGUUCUUGUUUUGCCCUGCAUCAGGGCCGCCUGCUUGACUACAGUGCCUGGGUACCGUAAUCAGAAUAAAUCACCCUUAUCAGCGCGGCAGUGAUGCAGCGCUGGAAACAGAACCAGGCGCCUGCUCUAUGCUUUGUGAAAAUGACAUCAUGGAGCUGAGUGGGAAGGGGGGCAGGUCGGGGGUGGGCUCCAGGCAGCCUUUGUGAGCCUGUCCACCCCAGGCAGAGCACUGCACCUGGCUGGGGGUAGUUCUGAUGCUAAUUGUGUGUUUGGGGUACCCAGAGCUUCUCACAGGUAACUUUUGCCUAUCUAAAGUCAGAUAAGUAAUGAAUAGGAAGUAUUUCCAAGGGGAAAAAAGGAGGAUGGUGGUGUGGUGUUCUGGUUUAGCCUGUAGCAGUUCUUGUAGCAACUAAAACUAGUGCAUUUUAAUAUGCUCCCAAGCUGUUUCUUCCAUCCACGGGCAAAUGGCACGACACAGUUUUUCAUUGUGGUUGUCUGAUCUGUUUUGGAGGGAAAAAGGUCCACAGUGAGUAGUGGAACUGUUGAAGAGUGAUUAUUGUUUUUCUCUUUUCCCCUGUGGAUUUAUAUGGUUCUCACAGUGCUGAGAGCUGACUUCAAGAGUGUUGUUGUAAUACUGAGGAAAAUGAGCACAUCUUACUAGACUUUAGAGAAUCCACUGCUAUGGAUACCAUAAUCACAGGAAAAAACUUUACACUUUGCAUGUAUUAAAACCCAGCAUCUCCUUAUAAGAGAGAGUGGCUGAAGGCUGGGUUCUCUGAUCCUCAACAAGGUAUGAUGAUAAUUCUUUCCCUUACAAGGAGGAUUUGCAGAGACCCUGUCCAGCUGCGUGUUUUUAUGAUGCUCGUAGCAGCAGCUUCCUACCUCUGCAGCUGAAAUGUUUCAGAGAGGGUUUUCUGGUUGGUGUCAGGGAGAACAUGACGGUGGGGAGACGUGCAGAAAGGAAAGAGCCAGGAAAAACCACUCCUGCCCCUGACUGUGAAUAGAGGAGCAGACUGCCUGUGCCUCCCUUCCUGGCUGUGGGGCAGAGAUGAGCACGAGUGAUGUUUGUGCUGAACCAUCCUGUGGUCCACGUGGAUCCUCCACACCCUGGUAGGACAAGCAGAGGGCUUUGCAAUGAGCUGCUUUAAGACUCCUGCAUGCCUUCUGUUCUUCCCAUCUCAAAGAGAUGAAGCUUAGCUUUGAAGUCUUUGAAAUUACAUCAAAGGACAAGAUUUCCAGAGCAGCUCAAGGGACUUGGGUGCACACAUCCCAUUGAUGGUCAAUGGGAGCUGGGUGCUUAAUUCCUGAAGGAGCUUUGAAAAGCUUGUCCUUCAUGUAUGUCCUUUUUGAGGAGGAAGUGAGAAGCAGUUGACUUUGCUUUUUUUUUUUUCUUUUUUUUUUUUCUGAAGAUGAAACACGAUGGCUUUAAAGAUGAUGUCCAAAACUCAGACUUGCUGUGAAAAUAACCAGUGGCUUCUUAAAGGAGAGGCAUGUAAAACUGGCCUAUGGUUUUACUUCCAUCCAAAAGAUGGUAACUCAUAACUCCUUGCUCUUCCCCCACUUCCCCUGUAGGUGUAGGGUAACCUUGUUGGGGCAGCUAUCACCUGUUGGGAGAGUCCCAUUGCCACCAGCACCAGUGUCCCUGCUGCUAUCAGCUGGCACAGUGAGAUGUAGAUAGGGCUUACUGAACUCUGUCAGCUCUGUUUGGCCUGAGCUGAUCAGGGGACAUGCUAUGAGGCUGCUUCAAUCCCACUUCCAUGGGAGGGGGCAGGAGAAGGCAGCAGCCAGAGCUGGCUUUGACAGGUUGCCAGGGAGAGGCAAAGGAAACUUGGCUGCAGCCUUGCUCCUGUGCUAUUUUGGUUCAAGGUAAUAACAGGAACUAUGCUGUAAAUAAGAAUAGACAAGUGAAGAAUUUCCCGCGUCUGUCUCCAGUCAUUUCUUUCCUUGGGAGAAAUUAUCUUGCUCCAGAAGAGCAAAUCCUUCUGUCUGCUUCUUGGAAACUGGGACGAUAAUAUUGAAGGGGAAGAAGAAAUUAUGGGAUCAUCACAAGCGGUGUCAGCAGCACAUCGUAUGCCAGGUGCCAGAGAUGCAUCUUCUAAAGCAAAUAACAGUCCUCAGUUAUCGCCAUCCCAAUGCAGAACCACAGGCAAUGGCUGUUCCUUGUGCUGGUUGGGGCUGUCUAAUGGGUGCCCCUUCUCUCAGGCAGCCAGGUGAGGCCAUGCCCUCUCCUUGGUCAGCCUUCCAUGUCCCUCUCUCCAGUCUGUAACCCAACCCCCAGCUGCAGCCAUUAGCUGUUUUCCUGCUGGCAUCCAGCUUCUCUUGCAGAAAUAGACUUCUUGUUCUGUCUUUUUGCUGUGAAGGCUGAAUUUCUGGGGGUUCUUUCUUCUUCCCAAAGGAGCCGGGAAUCCAGCACCAGAUGUGUCAUUUUAUCAGGAGCCUCAGCAGAUGCUUUGAGAAAGCUGCAGGUGUGCUACAAACCUGGUGUGGGUGGUAUGAUGCAGAGUCAGCCCAAGGGACAGCAAAGUGACCUGAAAAUGUCCUUCUGCUAGUGGACUUUGUCUCCUGCAUGUUCCCAUCUCCAGUCAGGGCAUGCACUGUGCUAGCAACAUGUUGGUGUGGGGUUCUUGUUUCUGCCCCCAAAUCCCUUAUGCCCUAUGAUCAAAAUUCUGGUCAAAGUUUACAGAGUUUGAGACCGCAGAGUGGAAAGAAAUGCAAAGCAGCUUGUGAGCUGAGAGGUGUGAAACUGAGGGUGCAAAAGAGCAAAUCUGAUCUGUCAGGUCAGCUUUGUCUGCUGAGAUUAAUCUCACAUAAAACUCGCAUGAGAUCAGGAAACUCGGCUAUACAGCAUUUGGACUUCAGAAGAUCUAGAAGGACCUGUGAAUAUCAUCACUAGCACUGAGGGAGCAGGAUACCUUGGGAAAGAGGAACCUGUGUGCCUUGUGUGAAAUCUGGCAUGGCCCUGAGAAGUCCAGGUUGUGACCUUCUUGUACCACUGCUUUUGUGGAUGUCUGAAGGAUGCUGUGCAAGGUCUUGUUCCCCAUCCACCUCCAAAUGUCUGUAGAAAUGAUGGCAGUUCUGGUGCUAAAGUAACCAAAGCAGCUGUGAAGCUCACCCAGGCCUCUUUCCAAAGCUGCAUUAAUGAGAAGCAGCUGAGAUUGACAGAAAACGCUGCAGGAAAAAUGGGCAGUGGUCCUAAUUUAGGGCUGCUCUUGUAACUCAGGGCACUCUGGCAGUAUAAAACUUAAUGCUGACAAUGUGGAAAGGAGCCGUGCUCACCUAUCACCUUGCUGAGGCCUGGGUUUUCAAGCAGCUGCUCUAUCUGCUUGGGUGCAGGAGCUUUACAGACUAUAUGCUUACCAAACAUUCUGGAAGAAACUCCUUGUAUUUAAAGAUAUAUAUUUUUUUCUGAAGUUCAUGAUCAGGAAUGUGCUAGGUUCAAAGUUUAGUCCUCUGAAUACCAGUUUUUUUUUCAGUCUGACCAGUCUGGUCAAGCACUUAAAUGCGUGCUUAAUAGAGUUAUAAACAGCUUCAGGAGUGUCCUUUGCUGCCCUGCUGAACAGACACAGACUUAAGUGUAAAUAUAGUUGUCUCACUGAAUCAGAGCGUGCUGCUAACGUGCUUACGCCAGCUGAGACAGAGCAGUGCACUGCCUAUGUUAACAAGGUGAGAUUUCAGAGUGACAUCAGAGGACACAGACAUCCUUUUAUUAGUGCUUGUUGCACCGUGACAUAGCUGCAAGGCAAGAGCCUGAGCUGGAGUGGGAGGAUCCUGAAAUGACAGCUUGGAAAGGUCUGGGCCUUUUGAAUCUCUGCUUGCCUUCUGUGCAGGCACACAGUACAGAGGGUUUCUUCUUGCGUGUGCCAUCACACACCUCACUUUCUCAUGGUAGGACAAGUAGGCUACCAAGAGCAGAAAGUAGGACAUUUGGCCUCUCUCCUCUAUGGGAGGUGCAAUGCAGAUUGGUUCCCUGAGAACUAGGACAGUCACCUCUGAAAGUAGAGCAGCUGGUCACCCUGUUUGCAUGUGCCUUACCUUAUAAAUGUACCCUUUAAAGCUCCGGCUGUAAGAGGCAUUUUUGGCCCAUUUAGGGAAAUGUUUUCUCAAAAUAGGGACAGAUACCCUGGAACUGGCCAAAACCUUUGCUUUCCAUCUGGAGCAUAGUCAGAGCUGCAUGCUGGGCAAGGAAAAGCAAGGGGUGCACUGCAUCAUUUCUUGUGUAUUGAGUGCUAGCACAGUGACAAAAGCAGCAUUUGUUUUUCAGCAGCAGGACAUGGACAGAUGACAUUACCCUGCAGCGUUAGAUGAUGCUUUACUGCAACAGGGAACUGUUACUAAAUCAAACUUCUUUGUGUGUGCAUGUGCUUUUAACUGUAUUUGACCAGAAGCAAAAAUGUGACUUUCACUUAAGAUACCUUGAGAAAGUUGAUGGAAGAUCAUUGCCCUUCACUGAGUUCCUUCUCCAAGUGCAACUAGAUGUAUAAUGCUUACAACCCUGCUGGGGUGCCAGUGAUGCCAGGAGGUUGGCAGUACACUGUUCUGGUCAGCAGGAUGUGUCUGGGAAGUGAAUGGCAGGCAGUGUUAGUAAAUAGCAUGGAGGUGCAAGCCAGGUCAGCUGGCAUGGAUGUUAGAAAGGCACUGCUGUCCUUACUUGGGCACAGCCAUUGCUGUUUUCAGCCCACUGCAGCCCAUAGUAAUCUCAUGUGGGAUCCUCACUUUGAACCAGAGGUCACUCAGGCUGGCUGUGCAGUGCUGAAGUCUGGAUUUGCACUUCUGGGACUUGUGAUCAUGGAGGCAGGUAUGAGGCUGAAAUCCUAGUAGUUAGCGAGGGAGGCUAAUGGAAAGGGAAGCCUUCCCAUUUUUGCCUCUAGUAAGUGUGCUGUGGUAAUGAGCCUGGUGGCUCCAGUUGUAGCGAGAAGCUCAGUGCUGUGAGAGCAGGUCUUUAAUCCACAUGACGAGGUGUUUCAUAAGCCAUAUGGGAUGCCCUGAUUUGAAUAUUAAUACCCAGAAUGCUUAUUCAGCUCACAGCCAUUGUGCAGAGAUGCUGUGUCUCUGUGGAGCCAGACCCAGCCUGCGGGUGUUCCAGUUUUGGUUGUUGUUUUUUUUUUUCUUUUCUUGCAAAGACAGUGUCAGGUUGUUCUGUAUUCUUAAUUCAGCAGUAUUAUUCAGCCAAGAAGCCUCUGAAGCCAUUUUAUCCAUGUUAUAUAAUGUUAAAUGAUUUUGGAUUUAAUGAACAUGCAGAGACUAUAGGACAGUGGGUUUGGUCUACAUAGCCAAGUGGCCUGCUAGCGGUGUACUUCAUAAAGUUACUUAUACUUCUACAGGGCAACACCUUCUAAAUUAAAACAGGAGGUAGUGACUGUGCCAGUGAGCCUUCGUAGUUUUGAAGGCCUUCAGCACAAACCAAGGAUGAAUAUUUAGUGUGAACUGAAGUGAAAUUCUAGCAGACAAUUGCUAACUAGAGACGGUGCUUCUGGAUGAAGGCCAUCUCCCUUGCCCUUCACUUCUGUGGCCAUAUGGGCUAUGUGCAUGUAGGGUGAACCUGCAUUACUCUGCCAGAGCUGGUUUUCCUCAGCACUGGGGUUUGAGGCACCUCUAUUUUCAGUACAGGACUGGGUUGUGACCCAGCCUGAGGUGGAUACCAGUGUUCUCACUGGCGAUGGAACAAUAAGCAUGGAUCAGAUGAGGAUGCACUCAAAGGACUUGUGUUUCCAGACUGCUACUUAGUCCCACCAGAGGGUGGCCAAGCUACUUCAGGGCAGCAUGAGACAAAAUCAAGGGCUCUGAUUUCUGUCAGAGAUUUUUGUGAGGGUUGCACAGAUGGGAAUGGCUUUAUCUUGAUUUCAAAUGGUUUGCUUGGUUCUGAUAACUCAGUUACUAGAAAGAGAUAGUUAAGAAGAAGAUGCUCUGUAAUGAGGAAGAAGAGUGUGAAGUGUUGGAGGGAUGGAUGGGUGAGGAAAUCAAGCCAGGUAUAACAAACAGCCCUAGGAUGCGGGAAGGCUUCCUUCCUUGGGAAACACAAAACCUUGAGUCUUGGAAGCUUCUUUAGAUGAAGUGUGGCUGGGCCUGAAUCAGGAAGUGGCAGAGCCUUCUGUGAAGUGACGAAUCUGAGGAGAGGGAUUUGUGUUUCCUCCUUCAAGGAGGCAUGGAAAGUUGUAUGAGGGUGAUUUACAUGUUUAAGCAAGGUUUUGGCAUUUGUGCUCAGCCUUGUGGUUCAUUUCCUCAUUCGCUCAAACGUACAAAGAGUGAACAAAUGUUUGGUAAACAGGAACCUAAGGUUUCAACGAUGAAAAGCUUUCACCCUCACCCACAGAGCUUCUUGCAGCACUGGAAAUGUUUUCCAGACAGUGAUGUGUUGUCUCAUGCGUGAUGUGCUGUGCUGCAUGGCUCCAGCCCUCACCCCACAGCACUGUGUCCCCUUUCUGCAGAGCCCCACACUAAAAGCCUGGUGUACAGUGUGCCCUUUGCUGCUAAGGCCUGGAUUAAGGAGAGAAGCUGAUGGCAAGGCAGCCUCUCCAGGUCAGCCUCUGUGAGUGCUGGCAAGGGCAGAGCUGGGAAACUUGCACAGCUGCUUCCUGGGCUUGGUUCAGUCUAUGAAUAACUGGAGAGCUUUCCAAUCAGUGGGACUGUUGGGCCAGGUAUUUGCAAGCACUUUAUUUGGUGGUUUCUUUUUAGUGUGGUUGCUGGACAGGGAGGACAAAAUAAAGAGAGGAACCUUUCAUGCCUGAGCGUUUUGCAGCAUCCGGUGUUUUCAUGAAACAACAAAGGACUUUAAAGAAGGAAGAACAAGCGCUUGGUUUAUAGGCAUUUAAAUGGACAAAACAAAGAAGGGGCUGUGCUGUUCAGUCAUCUCUCAGAGUCAGGGAUUCCAGAAGGAUGGAUUCACAGGACCUCAAGGCUGGAGCCCGUUCAGCCCACCUUUGCUUGUGCUGCCCUUGGGGCUAGCAGAGCUGGCACUGUAUGGACAGUAUUCAGCUCAGCCUUGCUGUUCAUAUUAGAAAUCCUCUCAGGGAGAUGACUGCAGAUGUCUGGGCUUUCACCCUGAGCCAAGAUGCAUGGGAAUCUGGGAGGCAGGGUUCUGCAGUCUGUGCUCUGGCUUGAACUGCAGGGCCAUGGGGCCUUGGUUCAGGUCUUUGUGCAAGUAUAUAGUGAGAAGCAGCACUGAAACAGAUCUGUUGGCAAGAGGAGGGAGGCUGCUGCUCCCACAGUUAGUCCUUGUGCUUUUUAAAGAGCACUGUGUUGUAACAGUGGAGCUGGGAAGGAAAGGGUGGUGGUAGUGUGCUGCUUAAUCAGCCUUGCUCAUCUCUCCUCAGUGCCCAAGACAACCAAAGCGCAAAAUGAAAGCAAUUGUGCAGCAAAAAAAUGUAAUGCUGGGAGUUCUCUUCGUGACCUGAAACUAGUGUCCGUGAACACGGCUCCUGGGCUUGCAGGGACAGCAAGGUGGGCUAUCAUGACUGUUUGCCCAUUGUGCCUUGUCCUUUGGGCCACAGGAAGCCACAGCUGCAGCCACAGGAUUACGUGUGACCAAGGAAUAGGUGAUCCAUAGCAAAGUGAAGUUUUUCUGUCUCAUUAAGGCUUCCCUGAUUCCUGCUUUCUCCUCUCUGCUGGGGUCUGGUAUCAUUUGGGAAGGAAGGCUGGAGGAGAUAGAACUGAUAAAUGAGUUAUUACUCAUGUUUUCUAGUCACCCAGGGCCUUUGGACCCCUUGCAGAAGUGUAUCAUUUACAACUGAGACGCUUCAGGCAUAACGAGUGAGCAACAUGGGGCCUCUAUACCUGCAGCACAUGCUUCCACCAGAGAUUGCUCAUUUCUGGGCUGUCUGAAGGCUCCAGGUUUCAUUCCAGACCCUGAGGUAAGAGGCUUGGCUGUGUGCACCACUCUCCCCAUCUGACCUGAAGCAUGGCAAGAUCACUUCCAAUUAACCUGAAAGGAAAACUGAGGCCUAAGAAUAUUAGAGAAGUCUUUGGAAGGGUGAAGACUGAAUCAAGUGUUAAUGUUUUAUUAUCUAGCUUUCUUAGCAAGCUCUCUCCUCACUGAGCUCCAGUAAAAUUUUGAAGUCAUGCUUUAGAUGUGGAAGAGACCUCAUAAAUUCUAGUACUUACAGAAUCUCUGAAAAAUAUUUUCUCUUUGAGAAUGUCUUUGUUGAAACCAAAUGAAGAGCAUCUGAGGAGUUUCCAGGGCAAAGGUGGAGAGAUAGUCUAAGCAGUCUUCAGUGGUUUUCAUUAUAUGAGAAUUAUAUGUUGUACAAGGAUAUUUUUUCCAAAAAAAGUCUCAAUUAAAAGUUUCCACAUUACAUAAGUGACUUAAAGCUUAGGACUGAGGAAACUAAAACAUGUUUUGGCUGUGCUACCUUGCCUGGACAGACACCUACAAGCCAUGCUACCUGAUAUGACUGCACUGCAGGAGUGGCAGGGCAAGGCACUGUGCCAGGUCUAGGCUCUGAACCCUAUGUGCUGGUGGGGAUUCCCACCAAGUGACUUCUGCUGAGUACAUAUGAAUUGUCUGCAGUGCUGGUUUUGUGAAAAAUCUAAACUUGCUCCUGUUGGUUUCCUUUUCUAGGCAGUCACACAGGUAUGUUGGGCUUACAUAGAAUUUAAGUAGAGUGUAAGCGAGUUUUGGAUGUGUAUCCUACACAACUGUAUCAUGACCUGGAAAACACAUACAGAUGUGUUCCCUUCUAGUUAAAUUCCUAUGGUGAAUGCCACAUGUUCCUGUUCAGCAGUGUCAUGUACUCAAUUAUCAGCUGAAAGGAUUCCUAAGAAGCUGUGGGAUUGAUGGGAGGUGACCAGAAGGUCAGUAUGGUCUCCCAGGUUAGUAUGGGUGGGGAUAACUGCAAGUAUCAGUAACACUAUCCCAGAUUUGAGGAUAUGCUGGCUCUGUCAGGUGAGUCCCAUCAGGCUAGGUAGUACUUCCUAUGUCCUGUCCAGGAUGAGCUGGAGUUUGUGUGGGCUUUGACACUAGGCAUUUUAGAGCAUCUGCUUAUCUAAAAGCCCUGGUCAGAAAGUAGACGAAAUUUCCAGACCUCCCAGUCAAUAUUUUUGAUGGCUAAGUUUCUGUGGAUCAUAUCUUUAAUGUUAUCCUGAAAUAUAUUUUGGUGUGGUUUAAGUGCGUUAUCACUCAGAGACAACACAAAGUGCCUCAGGCCAUAGGCAGAGGGCCAGAUCUUGUCCAUGGGAUGAACAUUUGCGGUUCCUCUUGACUCCCCAGUAUCUGAAGGUCAAGUCUGACCCACAGACUCCUACAAAGCUGAAAAGAUAAGAGGGCCAAAGAUGUAGUAAGUGGGCAAAGGUAGUUAUCAGUAGUUUCCAGUUGCUUUGUUCUGGCAGGGGGGAACAAUGUACGUAAGAGGAGACAGAUGGAUAAGACUCAGCUUGGUUUCUAGCUGCUGGAGUGUUAAGGCAUUCUGUUAUCUUGCCUUAAGUGGCUUUGAACUCCUACAUAGCUCUUUUUGUUAAGGCCGGGUCCAGUUGUGCCCUUGACUGACUGUACGUUGCUUCUGCUGACUUAGGCAAGUCUGUCUUGCAAGCAGGUUGUUCUGCAGUGAGGUUAAGGGGCAUUCAGGUGCUCUGUCCCUGGUCUGCAAAGACCUCUCUGUAUGUAGUCCUUCAUGCAGACAUCAGUGAGUCAGCAGUACUCAUUGCUGUCUGCAAAACAGUGAUGCCAAGAAGGCAAACACCUUAAGAAACUCACUCUUAUGUGCAGACGUUAUAAAUGAAAAAAGCAUGCUAAGCCUUUGGGCAUUCUACAAGGGAUAUCCAGGGUGCUGGUCUUUGAGCAAGUGCUGAAGAUUUUGGGUUUUGGUGUGGUAACGUGACCUGUGUUCUUCAUCCUUAUGCUUUCUGCAUACAGAAAGAUGAAGGGAUUCCUAGACACUGGGAGGAAAACAGCUAAGCCCACCUGAAUGAAGAGCAGGCAUCCUGAGAGAGCUGACCUUUGGCUGUUCAAGAUCUCCCAUGGUGGAUCCUUUACGAAACUGUUCCCGCUCCUUACAGGAGUGUUGAAUUUAUCCAUGCCCUCCUGUGCAGGGACUGAUGAAAUCUCUCACAAAAUGGAAACAAACCUGCAACGGCACAGGCGCUGCUGCAUUUGGCAGAAGAACAAAGUCUUAUUGUGUAGGCUUUGAACAUUCCAGCAUCAGCUGGGACAAAUGUGAUUGCACUCCUCCAUCUCCAAAGCCAACUGGACAAAGAGUGUAAAAGUUCAAAAUCCCAAGAAUACCUCUUCAGAGACCUGAAAAUAGCAUCUCCUCUUCUCUUGAUUUAUCCCCUUUGGACUGACCCAGCUCACCAUAUCCAUUUGGUUAUGCGGCUCAGCCAUCAGCAUGUGUCUACCCACCGCUGGAUGCUGUGCUUGCUGCUGCAUCCUGCUUGGGGACAGCCGCAGGCAGGGUUUGGGGUCACACAGGAUUGGUUUUAGAGUAGUCACACAGAGCAAACCUGCUAUUAAAUUUUUUCACAGCCAAGUGGUGGAAAUAGCCUUCCCCCAGGCUCUUGUCCAUCAGGUUGCAAAUGCCGAGGCAGGUUCUGGGGUUGAUGCCUUGGCUCUUGCACAGCUCCAUCCCGGCUCACAAGCCCAGGAGAAUGGGCUGAUCCUUGUCUUGCUGCAGGGCUAUUUUCUGCAGUUUAUUUUCUCUUGUUCUUUCUCUGCCAGUUUUAGCUACAAGGUGCUGCUUGCUGCCUCCUCAGGAAACUGUCGGGUGACUUGCUAUUAAAAGUGCUCAGGAAUCCUGCCCUGAAUUUUAGCUGCCUUUAUAUUUUUUUUUAUUUUUUCUUAUUAAUUUUACACUGGUUUGAAUACUACCUUUUUCAUGCAAGGAAAGCCCGCUUAUCUCAAUAUCUUUGGGAUGUUUUGGACUAUAAUGUUUUCCUCUUGGCUGUCCUUGGUAAAGCUGAUGGAUAAACGGGCAUAUUAAUUUGAAACUGGCUUUUAACCAAUGGAAACGAGCAAUGUUAGGAUAAAGUAUCUUACAUCAAUACAGAGCUUGAUUUUUGUGUCACAAAUGUACCUGGAAGAAAGGGCACCUUUUCUGACAUGUUUAUCUACACUUCAGAAGUGUGACAUGGUGUUACUUUACCACUGUGUACCUGUAUAAUUUUUUUCUCCCUUAAGCCAGUUUUCUCCUUCAGUCUGACGGCUGCUCUGGACGGGAAGUAUCCAGAAGGAAAGAUUGCACAAGAGUGAUGAGAUGGUUGCUUGUGUCUCUGCCCUGGGAUAUAUCACACAGCCCAAAAUUGUCCUGAAACUUUUUCUGUUGACGUGAUAAAUUGUAAACUCAUGUCCAAUUUCCUGUGUGCUAACCCUGCAAAGUCUUACACUGCAUUUGGGUCUCCUCCUCCCAUAGGGUGUCUUAAUUUUGGAAUAUGUCCUCCCUGGACAUAUUAGUCUUUGUGUCCUUCAAUGUAGGUCAUUUUCUCCCCAGGCCCCAUAUCUUUCUUUUAUUUAUUUAUUAUUUUUGUCCUUUUGUGUUAUAUUCUACUCCUUGCCAGUGAUUGCAUCUCCUCCCCAGUGUAGUAUCAAUUGCAGUAUUAAUAAAUGCACUGUCUAAUGCUUUUUCUAGAUCGUUAAAGAAGAUGGUAAAUAAAACUUAGGGUAACACCAGUUUCUAGUAAUAACCCUACUGGAUGUUUCCCUGCAAUGUGACAGUUUGUUGUUGAUUGCUAUUCAUCACUGAGCCUGAACGUCAGUGUCCCUGUGUGGGGUAAUUUACAUUCAUUUAAUAAUAAUUCAUCACAGAAUCAGAGAAAAACGUGGCUAGGAAGGACCUCAAGAGGUUGGUUUCAGAAAUAUUCCUGACGUUUUCAGCCUGCUAUUAAAUGCCUGUAAGGAGACAGCUCUCGCAUCUUUCCCAGGCAGUCAUUGUUCAUGCACUUUGGCCUUCCCCAAGCAUCUAACCUUAAUCUCUCGUGCUGCAACUCAAGCCUGUUGUUUCUUGCUUCCCUCAGAGUGCAUAUAUUUGGAGAACAUCUUAUUCCCACUUUUUCUGGAGAAAUGUUCAUUGUUGAAUGUUAUGUUCCCCCAAUCUCCUUGCUGUGGGUAAACAACCUCUGUAGAAUAAACCCUUCAUCAUAAGUCCUAUUCCCUAGACAUCUGAUCCUACUUCUGGGUUCUCCUGAGAAGAUAAAGAUUGCUUCAGUCCUGGGUAAAGCUGAAGGUUCAGCUGUGUGCUUCACAGACUCAGCUCCUUUCAGUACUCCCUGGUAUAGUGGUAUCUGUGUGUGUGACAAAAUGGCCUUUUUUGUUGUUGUUGUUUAUUUCAGGUUUCUGAGUUGCUGUACUGCUCCACAUCUGCCCAACAGGUUGUCUCAUUUUGUCCUACUGCAGCUGAUUGUACCUAUGUCUAAGCACAGUUUGCUUCCCUUCUUAUUGAAUUACAUCCUGUUUUUUCAGACCUUUCAUCUGUCAUAUCAAGAUAAUUUUUAAUUCUAAUCCUGUUCUCUCACAUCUUUGUAGCUCAUCUCAGCUUGGUGCCAUCUGCAUACCUAAUAAGGAUGCUUGUUAUUCUAUCAUCCAGUGGUUAAUAAAAACGGGAGCAGGCUGGAUCCCUGUUGAACCCUACCUAUCCUUAUGUUUUGCCAAUGAUGCCUUCUUUCUGAGUACAGUUUUCCUACCAGCUUUGCCUUCUGCCCUCAGAAGGACUUCAAAUUUGUGUUUCCUUGGCUCCCUUCUGGUAAUGUGAUGUGAGGCAGUACCAAUGCCCCAACCAAAGUCAACAUGUAAGACUUCUGUUUUGCCUCUAUCUGCAAGCCCUGUUGCACGAUGAAAUUAGGUCAAUUUGAUAUGAUUUGCUCCUGGCAAAUCAGCACUGGCUGUUCCUCUCCUCUUUGUUGUUUCCAAGGUGCUGAUGAUUAGUUAGCUUAAUUAUUUGUUCCAGUGCGUUUCCAGGAACUGAAAUUGAGCUGACUGGCCAUAAUAACUGCUUUGCUCCUCAUUUCCCCUUUCUGCAGCCAGACAGGGAGCUUUUCUAUAAGGAGCCCUGUGACUCAUGAAGGCCCCUCCUAGGCCAGCCCCUUCUCAUGGGUCCUCUGUGGUGGAGCCAAAGCAAUACUUUUCUUACCCAUUCUUUGGCUGCUGCUUUAGAGCUAGAAUACUCUUCUGCUCAUCUUCCUGUUCUAUGCUACUUGUGCCUCCUUUCCGUGCCUUUCUCGACUUUAUCCCUACUUGUAUCUGCUAAACUUUUGUGCCCAUCCUUAGUCAUUUGCACAUCUCGGGUUUUCUGUUGGCUUCCUCCUUGUCUGUGGGGCCACUGCAGAUUUAAUGACUUGGCAAGCUGACCUUGAACUGUUUAUUAACCUUCCUUUGCAUUGGUACGACUUCAUGUUUUUGCCAUUGUGGUGGUUUUUUCUGCAAAAAAUCCCAGCACUGUCUUGGAACUCAUUUCCCUGAGAUCUCUCUUACCAGUCUGCUGGGUUACGUGGGAAUAUCCAUGGUGCUCAGCAAAUCCUCUUAAUGGCAAAGUGUAGAAAACAAGACUUUCAAUGAAAUUGUGGGCUUCACCCACUUCCAAAUAGACUUUCCUGACCUGUGUAUGCUUCUUGUUUUCUCUUUGUCUCUUAGCAGAAUUAACUACCACAAGCCAAAUUCUGACCUCAUUUACACCAGUAAAAUCUGAGUCUGUUCCAGAAAACUGCUAAAGUUGUUUUGGGCUUACAGCGAUGAAAAUGAGAGCGGAAUCUGCCUCAUUAAUUCCCCCAAUCCACAGAAAGCAAAUGAAUCCAAGAGGAAAUAGGUCUUCAGAAGGGAGCCCUGGAAAGAAUUAGUGACAGACUUAAUGGGAUUAUGGGGGAAAAAUGCUUUAACAAAUCCAAAUCAAUCCUCUCUUCAAAACACUCAUGGUGCCAGAAUAAAUAAAAACACUGUUUUGGGAAUGAAAAGGUUAAAAAGCUAUGAAAACAAAAUCUCUCAGCCUGUUCUGAUGAUGGCAGUCCCAUUGCAGAACGAGUGCAACCCAGAAAGGCUGAGUCAGCAAUACCCAACCUCAUUCUUUGUGUUGGUCUAUGGGACUUGGGGGGAAGAAACUCAAAUUUCUCGCUUUAACCAUGAGGUCCUUUUGCAAUUUCAGGUUUGAUAAAAGACAUGUGGAGAUCAGUCAGCAUUACAAGCAGGGAUGGAUGGACAGGUCUGGCAGCCAGAAGCCUUUCUCCUUGUCACCUAGCCAGCUGGACAUUCUUCCUCCAGUGCUAUUCCUCCAGUCUGUGUUUCAGCUUUUUAUUCUCCUGUUAAUUACCAUCUUCUUGCUAUUCUUCACCACCUCAAUACUGUGUAUGGCACCAGAGCUGGAUUUGCCACAAGUAUGAGUAAAAGACCCUGCUUCUGUGGUGUUACAGGAUGUUUCAGGAGCUGCAUGUUGAUGGCCUGCCUUUGUGCAGCCAAGUGGAAGGGGAAAAUAUUCUGAGCAACUGGCAGGAGCCAGCCUCUUCCAGCCAGGCAGGCACACUUGUGUGCUGGUAGAAAGAAAACCAGGAAGGAGCAUAAGGCCCAUCCUUUGCCUAUCUGUAACAGCUGGAGGCAAGGUGAACUGUUACCCAUACGUAUGCUCUGCCUUCUUUUAUCUUCCCCCAUCAAGGUAGCUUUCUGCAUUUUCCCUGAUACCCCAGUCAACCUGAAGUAAGAGCUAGGAUGAAGUAAUUAGAGCAUGAUCUCUUCUGUUUAUAUACAAGAGCACACUGUUACCAAAGGCAAUCCUCCACUGAGGAUGCUGACUUUCUAUUCUAAUAGUUUGAUGAUCUUUGGGGAAGUGCUGGGCUUUAUGCACAGACCCCCAAGUACCAAGAUAAGCUGGGCUAAACGAAAACAUUCUGAGGGGAAAUGCAAGAGUGUGUGAGGUCUACAAAGCCCUUCCUAUGGUGAGAUACUUGAGGGCACUGGCGUUUUUUAUGUAAUUUAAAAGUUAUAAGGUUGCUUAAUAUCAGCAAAAAGCUGUGGUAGGAAAGAGAUUUCUAACUGGGGACUUCAAUUAAGAGAAAAACAUACUGAGCAAUUCAGUGGCUAGAAGCAGAGAAAGACAUGUGCAGACCAAAAAAAAGUUGCACCUCUUGUAUAAGAAUAGCUGACCAAAGAAAUGACUUUUUCCAACAUCCUGGUAGACCCUCCAGAACUUUCAGUGUUCCAGUCAAGAAGAGGUGGCUUUCUAAAAGAUAUAUGGCAGCUCAAAGGGAAGUCCUCAGUCUGCUUCAGAAACGAGCGGGCAAGGUUCCCUGAAUCCCUUACACAAUAGGUUACACUUGAUGAUUGUAAAGGUCUCUGCUGACCUUAAACAAUAAAUUCCUGACAUUCAGCUGUUCUCAAGUGUAGCAUUUUAUUGAAUAGCAGUUUGGGAUCAAAAAUAGCUGUAAUCAGUGAAUUAAGCAGGAAAAUUAGCAAUGUAGUUUCUUCAGCACCCCUUGUGCUCCUUAAUUUGAUAGUUCUUUAUGUUACGUCCUUACAUUUUUAGUGUGCUUCAGGACUGUGUGUUGGGCACAGAAUCACGUUAUGGGGUAAUUGGGAGGCAGCUGGGCAGUUUUGGCAGCUGAGAAGGGGACAACAAGCACUCUUGGCUCUUUGGGAGGCACUGUGGAUUUGUGGGAGAAGUACGUUGAUUGAAUGCUAAGAUCAUCAGAAGUGGAAGUCAAAAGGAUUGACAAUAAUGUUUGUCUCAUCUUUAGGUUAACCACUUCCAGAAGAGAACAACAGCAUACAGUGAAAUAGGAGCUAUUGUUUGGCCUGCAGACUGGUGAUCUCUCAAAUCUCACAGCAAAAUGUUUUUUUUCAGCGCAGCUUGAUUAGUUUAAACUCAAAGUAUAGUUGUUAUUUGCGAUGAUGUUAUUUACCGUGGUCCAAAGCCAAAUACUUGAGGAAAACCCUGCUGUUGCAGCGCAUGGCUCUUGCUUGGUUCGUGUGUGCUGUGGAGGUUUGCAUUGGUCUAGAACCAGUGACCACAUCCUUAGUAAUGCACAGCUGAGACAGACUUUGCUUCACUUGCCACAGUUAUUCUGUCUUUGGAUAUCUGCUUUCCUGUGCAAAUCCCAGAAACUGCUUUUCUGCUCUUCAUUGUCUGUGAAAGAUUAAACCUUGCAACCAGCCAGUGCACAAGCAUGGUUUAAGGGAGGGACAGGAGUGAAGCUGAGGCUGGCAAGGCAGAGCAGGUUUGGUUAUCAGCUGCUGUGAAAGGGAUGGGGCCUGGACAGAUAAGAUGCCUCUCACUAGCAUUUUCGUUCAGAUGAAAAUAACAGUUGUCCUGGUUGCGCCAGAUAGUUGCAGUUUGAUGAGGCACAGGGUGUGACAAACUGGUCUCCCCUUGGGGGGCACUGUGCUGGGAGAGAAGAUCCCCAUGAGAACCUGAGGUACUCCAGAUAGCAGUGGAUGCUCAGGCUGUGACCCUGAGUGGGAGCCACCUGCAAGUAAAACCUACUGUGGGCUCACCAGUGUUGCUCUUAUGCUUCUCUAUUUGCUGACAUAGACAUAGCCUCUACCCUCUGUGACUGUGUCGCAGUCAAAACACUCUACUAUCACUUAUUUGUCAAGAUCAUAAAUGAUUAAGUUAAUUUAUAUUUCAAAGGAGCCCUCCAAAGGAACUGUCUUUGUCAUGAUGUGAUUAUCAGGAAGGCCAAAGUCUUUAGUCUCUGCCCUCUGACUUCUUGAGGACGGGAGGCUGCCUCUCCACUGAGAACCAACUCAUUCCUUUUCUCUCAAGAUUUCUUAUUUAAUAUCCUCGCACUGAGCCCAGACUGCACUAAUUUGUUACUAACUGGUGAGGAUUAAUGCAAAGGAAAUAUAAAGCUGUGAGGUUACACAACAGUCCUGGGCUUGGUUGUCAGAAGCCACUAUAACCUUUCAUUCUCCCCAGUCAGUAUUGCCACAGCUGUGAUUUCCAAGGUGAGACGUGAACUUCCAGGAGAUCUGAAGGCUCAGCAGCAAUACAAAAGAUCUGCAGUCCCUAUGUAUUGUGCUGUAAUUACUUUAUUUAGGUCCAUUUUGUUUUAUUGAUCUUUGGUUCCUCCUUGUCAUCUUAGUUUUAAUUCUCUCUUCCACAUUCCCUUGUCCCUUGCCUGUAGAGGCAACCUGGAGGAUUUCCAGCCACCAGGGCCAAAGUUUCACCAGCAGUGCCUGGUGGAACCAUGCUGCAGGUCACUGCAUAUCAAAUGGAGAUGGUCCAGCUCAGGUGAGUGCAUGCGUAUUCUGAGGUGGGUACUGAUGCUCUCUGCCACUGUGUGACUGCAGUUAUGUCCUGGUCACUCAGCAUUACUUAAGAUCCUACAUCACUUUUCACAUUGUUAGCAUCUUUCGCUACUAUUAGGCAAUCAUGCAUUUAAUUCCCUGAGCUUUACAUAUCUCUUUGAUUAACUGAUGGCUUUUUAAGGUGCUAAAUAUUAUUAGAGGCUGACUCUCCCAGCCUGUGCCGAUGAUGGUCAAAUUGAAUCCUAUUUUAUGUGUAAUUUCUCAAUCAGAGAACAAAGAGCUUUGGCAAUUUGGAUCAAAGGCACCAAGUACAAGUCAUUAUUAUUGUUGGAAUAGUGAAGUGAGCUCCUGGAAAAAUCGUGUUGACUUCUCCUUUGUAGGAUGCCUGCACUGUGGAGCCUUUGAUGUCUAAUGGUCUGGCACCAUAACUCGUGUAGAUAUAGCACUGCCUAUAAACAGAAAGAGGUAAUGAAUGAGUAUAUCAUUAUUUAUUACUUUUAAGACUUCAGAACACAACUCAGAAAUCCCAUGUGCACGAAGCAAUCCGUAUAAGACAAAAGAUAUUAGAAAGAGAGUGAUAAGCGAGCCUUUCAUUUGAUCUAGCAAAAAAAAAAACCAAAA